UGAAUGAGAGGUGGCUGCUUCCAGUGUGACACCCACACUCCCACCCUCUCUUAUUGGGCGUCUGGACGUCACAGAGCUCCCGGGGAGGGCGAGAGACAGGAGCUGGUUGGAGCAGUUGGUGGCAGCCAGUGCAGUGGAGCAGCACAUACACAGUCACACAGACAGGGGAGGGAAACAGUUAAGGUGAAAAAGAGACUUUUUACAAUCAACAGAUUGUGGAACACUGACAUUAGGAGCAGAGAGAAGAAGAACGCUGAUGGAAAAUGAAUGGCUGCAGCUGAGUGAUUGCAAGCACAAAUAUGCCUGUCGGAAAAGAGAAUUAAACAGAGGUGAUAAGAGGCAUCAAUCAAUGUGGUCUUCAGGAAUGGAGCAGAUGUUGCUUCAGCAGCUCAGGAGCAAUAGAGACAAGCAGAGACUGUGCCCAGCCAUAGCGUAGAGG
This is a non-coding RNA of Pelobates cultripes (western spadefoot toad), 439 nucleotides long. Lineage: Eukaryota; Metazoa; Chordata; Amphibia; Anura; Pelobatidae. The record is from the annotation of a GenBank genome assembly.